CCAAUAGCGUAUAUUAAAGUUGUUGUGGUUAAAAAGCUCGUAGUUGAACCUUGGGCCUGGCUGGCCGGUCCGCCUCACCGCGUGUACUGGUCCGGCCGGGCCUUUCCCUCUGUGGAACCCCAUGCCCUUCACUGGGUGUGGCGGGGAAACAGGACUUUUACUGUGAAAAAAUUAGAGUGCUCCAGGCAGGCCUAUGCUCGAAUACAUUAGCAUGGAAUAAUAGAAUAGGACGUGUGGCUCUAUUUUGUUGGUUUCUAGGACCGCCGUAAUGAUUAAUAGGGACAGUCGGGGGCAUCAGUAUUCAAUUGUCAGAGGUGAAAUUCUUGGAUUUAUUGAAGACUAACUACUGCGAAAGCAUUUGCCAAGGAUGUUUUCAUUAAUCAGGAACGAAAGUUAGGGGAUCGAAGACGAUCAGAUACCGUCGUAGUCUUAACCAUAAACUAUGCCGACUAGGGAUCGGACGGUGUUAUUUUUUGACCCGUUCGGCACCUUACG
This 495-nucleotide ribosomal RNA is filed under the name uncultured Glomeromycotina. Its description in RNAcentral is "partial small subunit ribosomal RNA". It matches the Rfam family "Eukaryotic small subunit ribosomal RNA", at positions 591 to 1092 of the family's 1831-position model. The record is from RNAcentral. Lineage: Eukaryota; Fungi; Glomeromycota.